This is a long non-coding RNA of Brachypodium distachyon (stiff brome), 1589 nucleotides long. RefSeq lists it as uncharacterized. NCBI's taxonomy places the organism in Eukaryota, Viridiplantae, Streptophyta, Magnoliopsida, Poales, Poaceae. The record is from RefSeq and is a predicted model, not a curated record. The transcript is spliced from 5 exons.
GCAACGCUUGUGCCCCUCGUCGAGCCGGGCCUUCGGUUGCCUCUUAGAUGGGGAGCUUGCGAGGCGGUGACGGCGGAGAGGGUAGGAGCGAGGACGGACGGGAGGUCGGGCUGCCGGCGUUGGACGUGGCUCUCGCGUUCGCGCGGGAAACGCCGGCGUCCCUGCUGCUCCAGCUCGCUGGCUUUGAUGGUGCAGGACAAACUGAAGGAAUCACAGUACCGGAUUACUCCUUUCCGUGCUGAAUCUUCUAAUAAUACAAGCACUCCUACAUCUACAUGAUCUGCUUGCUCUGCAGGGAGCGGGGGUAUAGUUUGAAGAACUGCCCUAUCAUGAACCAGGUUCACGACAUCGUGGAUAAUGGUUUUAGAGCCUGUACGAGGUGACCCUGGACCCAAGAGACGCGAUGGCGCCAUGAAAGUCAGCCGCACCUCAAGGGCAGGGAUGAGGUGGUACAAACUUUGCGAGCUACUUUGUCUGCAAACAGCAGGGACAUUUGAGCAAGGAUUGUCCUAAAAAUAAAUAUGCCAUUUAUCUGAAGGUAUUACACAUCCUUCUUUUGUCCCUUGUCAUGAUAUUACUACACCAAUGCAAAGGCGCUGAAAAUGGAAGCACACAUACCUUUAAUUUGCAUCUAGAGUUUAUUCGGACAAACAUGUCAUGCCUGAGUUUUGCACAAUGCAAACAGUUGGGUUGAUAAUCUUGAGAGAUAUAGCUACAAAUAUUGAUAUUGCAAUUAACUUUGAUUAAUAUAGUUAUGAUAACAAAAGAGUAAAUUGCAAUAUCAAUAUUUUAGCAGUUUCAAAUAGAACCAUAUGGUUCAACAAUUCGCACAUGAAAAAAUGAGAUUAUUUUAUAACAGAAACUGCUGAAUAAAAAAUAUCCACAAAGAAAUCGUGUGCAGUCUCAGAUACAAACCAUUCGGAUUCUUGAAGAACGCUAUCUAUCCGCACUCUUCAAUUCACCUCCAGCAUGAGAUGAAUUCGAAUUUCAACAAUGUUGUCGGGGGGAUGACCCCGGGUAGGGUCAUGAAAACACAUAUUGGCCGGGUUAGCGAGAGCAAAGCCGACGUAAGAAAGUACGCCGGCAUUGUUAAGUCGCUUCUCUAACAGGCCGCAUACCAAGAGUAUGCCGGCAUCUCUAUCUUGUCUUAUGUGAUUGCAGGACAAGCACACAUUACCUAAUCUCGGCUAGAGCCGGGAUACGCCAACGGUCUUAUCCUGGUCGCAUGGCCUAAAGUAAAGCAAUGCUCCCUUUAUGACGGAAAAACAGUCGUUGCUCACGUCGUUGUGCCGGACGACUGCACAGUGACGUGACAUAGAAGGACAAUGACGAAAGCCGGGGCGUGGCUACAGUGCGCGCCGUCUCACAGUACGAAAAGUACAAAGAUGCGUUGUCCCCUCCCGGACAACCCGGAGAGGACCAGGGGCUAGGGUUUCCCUUUGGCCCACUUGUCAGUGUAAUAUCUUAGGCUAUAAAUAGAGGCUCCACCCCUCCUGCGAGAGGGGUUCCUCCCUUAGACAUUAGAAGCUCCCCUUCUUCUUCUUCCUCGGAAUACAGCUCAUGGAGCACCAUUGUAGCCCUCUAGUAUC